RNAcentral lists this ribosomal RNA (460 nucleotides) under uncultured bacterium. RNAcentral describes it as "partial 16S ribosomal RNA". It matches the Rfam family "Bacterial small subunit ribosomal RNA", at positions 338 to 795 of the family's 1533-position model. The record is from RNAcentral.
CCUACGGGUGGCAGCAGUGAGGAAUAUUGGUCAAUGGGCGAGAGCCUGAACCAGCCAAGUCGCGUGAAGGAUGGCGGCCCUACGGGUUGUAAACUUCUUUUGUCAGGGAGCAAUUGGGUCCACGCGUGGGCUUAGCGAGAGUACCUGAAGAAAAAGCAUGGGCUAACUCCUGGCCAGCAGCGGCGGUAAUACGGAGGAUGCGAGGGUUAUCCGGUUUUAUUGGGUUUAAGGGGUGCGCGGGCGGAAUAUCAGGUCAGCGGGAAAAAUUCGGGGCUCAACCCCGUCGUGCCGUUGAAACUGAUGUGCUGGAGUGCGCGAGAAGUAUGCGGAAUGCGUGGUGUAGCGGUGAAAUGCUUAGAGAUCAUACAGAACACCGAUUGCGAAGGCAGCUUACCAAUCUAUAUCUGACGUUGAGGCACGAAAGCGUGGGGAGCAAACAGGAUUAGAUACCCUAGUAGUC